RNAcentral lists this transfer RNA (72 nucleotides) under Camelus bactrianus (Bactrian camel). It matches the Rfam family "tRNA". From Rfam's summary of the family: Transfer RNA (tRNA) molecules are approximately 80 nucleotides in length. Their secondary structure includes four short double-helical elements and three loops (D, anti-codon, and T loops). Further hydrogen bonds mediate the characteristic L-shaped molecular structure. tRNAs have two regions of fundamental functional importance: the anti-codon, which is responsible for specific mRNA codon recognition, and the 3' end, to which the tRNAs corresponding amino acid is attached (by aminoacyl-tRNA synthetases). tRNAs cope with the degeneracy of the genetic code in two manners: having more than one tRNA (with a specific anti-codon) for a particular amino acid; and 'wobble' base-pairing, i.e. permitting non-standard base-pairing at the 3rd anti-codon position. Lineage: Eukaryota; Metazoa; Chordata; Mammalia; Artiodactyla; Camelidae. RNAcentral also lists the same sequence under 2 other names. The record is from Rfam by way of RNAcentral.
GGAGCUGUAGCUCAGUGGUAGAGUGUGUGCUUAGCAUGCACACGGUCCUGGGUUCAAUCCCCAGUACUUCCA